CCCCCCCCAAAAAAACCUAAACUAAAUAGAGUCAUGGAGAGUUGGAUGUGACUGAAAAUGACUGAACAACAACACCUUUAAGAUCAUGGUUUCAAAUUCCUUUCCAGAAUGGUUGGUCCCAUAUGAUGAGCUAGCAAAUCCUUAGAGAUAUUUGAUGAAAGGAUUUUUUCCCGAUCAACUGCUUCCUUUUUUAUUCUAGUUAAAUAAGUUUUGUUCAUGCAGAAGAUUUUCCAUUUCAUGUAAAGCAGAUUAUCUAUUUUAUCUCAUCAUCACAUCUCACCCCUGAGAUAAAAACUGUGAAAAUAUAUGAUCUGGUUCUCAUUUACUUUUUUAUGGCUUAACCUUUAAUAUUCUGGUCAUGUAUCCAUUUUGAGCUUAUUGCUGUCUAUGUUGGUCCAAACCUAAUUUCUGCCAAACUACUAGCCAGUUUUCACAGUGAUUUUUGACAAAUAAGGAGUUCUUACCUAGGUAAUUUGUUCUCCAGUUUAUUGAAGACUGGGUUAUUCAGUUCAAUCGUUUCAGAUUCUUUCUUAUCUAGUCUGUUCCACUGAUCUACUUCCUUCUUUUUCAACCAAUAUCAGAUCUUUUUUUAUUAUUACUGCUUUAUAAGAUAAUUCUCAAUCUGGAAAUUCUAUUCUAAGAGAGAACCUUUUUUAAAAAACAAAGAAAUAAAUUUCUAAACCUGGAAUUUUUGACACUGUAACUGGUGGGUAAAUAUUUGGGCUCAGCUCAUGAGGAAGUGUUCCCUCAUAUUAAGCCUCCUGAGUGGGGCACUGAACAGAGGACCAAGACUAGAGUCAGGAAGACUCAUCUUCCUAAGUUCAUAUCUGGCUUUAGACUACAUAAAUACUACCUAUUAGUGCUUAUUGAAUGAACAAAUGAAUGAAUGCAUUUUUCAUUAAGCAAAUAGAAAAGUGAAACCUACAUAUAAAUGGUUUUGGGGAAGGGAUGAAGGGAGCCUAAAGAAACAGUCUUGUCUGCUCUCCCCAUCCCUGGAGGAUUUCUUUAAAAAAUUAAAAAAG
RNAcentral lists this long non-coding RNA (1022 nucleotides) under Monodelphis domestica (gray short-tailed opossum). RNAcentral's name for it is "lncRNA (ENSMODG00000039852.1)". The record is from RNAcentral. Lineage: Eukaryota; Metazoa; Chordata; Mammalia; Didelphimorphia; Didelphidae.